UACGAAGGGUACGGGCGUUGUCCGGAAUUACUGGGCGUAAAGAGCUCGUAGGUGGUUUGUCGCGUUGUUCGUGAAAACUCACAGCUUAACUGUGGGCGUGCGGGCGAUACGGGCAGACUGGAGUACUGCAGGGGAGACUGGAAUUCCUGGUGUAGCGGUGGAAUGCGCAGAUAUCAGGAGGAACACCGGUGGCGAAGGCGGGUCUCGGGGCAGUAACUGACGCUGAGGAGCGAAAGCGUGGGGAGCGAACAGG
Molecule: ribosomal RNA, 253 nt
Filed under: uncultured bacterium
Lineage: Bacteria
Description: partial 16S ribosomal RNA
Rfam family: Bacterial small subunit ribosomal RNA
Source: RNAcentral